UUCAGGAAAAAAUUUGAUCAAAAUUCCCGCCCCCCCUAUUGCUGAACCGAAUAAAGUUUUUGAAAGACUUUUGUGUCAUGAAAAAAUGAACCUAAUGGUGGGGGAUAAGGGGGUGGGGGGGUGUGGGGGUGUGGGGGGGGGUGUAGAUCAGGGCUGAGAAAGUAUAAUAUCAGCAAACUGGUCUGGUAUGAGAUUUGGACAUGAGGACCAAAGCAGAUGGAUGUACCCUAUAAUUUCCUAAACCCACAAUUUUCCCCCAAUAACAGAUCCCGAAUA
Poecilia latipinna (sailfin molly) is the source of this 276-nucleotide long non-coding RNA. RefSeq lists it as uncharacterized. The record is from RefSeq and is a predicted model, not a curated record. Lineage: Eukaryota; Metazoa; Chordata; Actinopteri; Cyprinodontiformes; Poeciliidae. The transcript is spliced from 3 exons.